CGCACCUUGCGCUCCUUGGUAUUCCGAGGAGCAUGCCUGUUUGAGUGUCGUGAACAUCUCAACUCGGAAGCAUUCGUUUGCUUUCUGGGCUUGGACUUGGAGGUUUUUGCUGGCGAUGGUCGGCUCCUCUCAAAUGCAUUAGCUGGGCUUAGCUCAGAGGAAUGAUCGGUGUGAUAAUUAUCUGCGCCGUCACUCAUGACUCUGGAUCCCGCUUCCAAUCGUCUCUCCACACGAGACAAUUCAUUUGAACAUCUGACCUCAAAUCAGGUAGGACUACCCGCUGAACUUAA
This 290-nucleotide unclassified non-coding RNA is filed under the name fungal sp. Its description in RNAcentral is "partial contains 5.8S ribosomal RNA, internal transcribed spacer 2, and large subunit ribosomal RNA". Lineage: Eukaryota; Fungi. The record is from RNAcentral.